This 301-nucleotide ribosomal RNA is filed under the name uncultured bacterium. Its description in RNAcentral is "partial 16S ribosomal RNA". It matches the Rfam family "Bacterial small subunit ribosomal RNA", at positions 509 to 807 of the family's 1533-position model. The record is from RNAcentral.
CAGUAGCCGCGGGAAAACAGAGGGUGCGAGCGUUAAUCGGAUUUACUGGGCGUAAAGCGUGCGUAGGCGGCUUCUUAAGUCGGAUGUGAAAUCCCUGAGCUUAACUUAGGAAUUGCAUUCGAUACUGGGAAGCUAGAGUAUGGGAGAGGAUGGUAGAAUUCCAGGUGUAGCGGUGAAAUGCGUAGAGAUCUGGAGGAAUACCGAUGGCGAAGGCAGCCAUCUGGCCUAAUACUGACGCUGAGGUACGAAAGCAUGGGGAGCAAACAGGAUUAGAUACCCCAGUAGUCCCUGUCUCUUAUAC